This 253-nucleotide ribosomal RNA is filed under the name uncultured bacterium. Its description in RNAcentral is "partial 16S ribosomal RNA". It matches the Rfam family "Bacterial small subunit ribosomal RNA", at positions 524 to 776 of the family's 1533-position model. The record is from RNAcentral.
UACGUAGGGACCAAGCGUUGUUCGGAUUUACUGGGCGUAAAGCGCGCGUAGGCGGCUUUGCAAGUCGGGUGUGAAAUCCCCAGGCUUAACCUGGGAACUGCAUUCGAGACUGCAUUGCUAGAGUAUGGGAGAGGGAAGUGGAAUUUCCGGUGUAGCGGUGAAAUGCGUAGAUAUCGGAAGGAACAUCAGUGGCGAAAGCGACUUCCUGGACCAAUACUGACGCUCAUGUGCGAAAGCGUGGGGAGCAAACAGG